RNAcentral lists this ribosomal RNA (884 nucleotides) under uncultured bacterium. RNAcentral describes it as "bacterial SSU rRNA". It matches the Rfam family "Bacterial small subunit ribosomal RNA", at positions 89 to 964 of the family's 1533-position model. The record is from RNAcentral.
UGACGAGUGGCGGACGGGUGAGUAAUGCUUGGGAACGUGCCUUUGGGUGGGGGAUACCAGUUGGAAACGACUGUUAAUACCGCAUGACGACUGAGGUCCAAAGGGGGCGUCUACUUCGGUAGAGCUCUCGCCUGGAGAGCGGCCCAAGUGAGAUUAGCUAGUUGGUGAGGUAAAGGCUCACCAAGGCGACGAUCUCUAGCUGUUCUGAGAGGAAGAUCAGCCACACUGGGACUGAGACACGGCCCAGACUCCUACGGGAGGCAGCAGUGGGGAAUAUUGCGCAAUGGGGGGAACCCUGACGCAGCCACGCCGCGUGUGUGAAGAAGGCCUUCGGGUUGUAAAGCACUUUCAGUGAUGAGGAAGGUGAUGUAGUUAAUACCUGCAUCAAUUGACGUUAGUCACAGAAGAAGCACCGGCUAACUCCGUGCCAGCAGCCGCGGUAAUACGGAGGGUGCGAGCGUUAAUCGGAAUUACUGGGCGUAAAGCGCACGCAGGCGGUUAUAUAAGCUAGAAGUGAAAGCCCCGGGCUCAACCUGGGAAGGCCUUUUAGAACUGUAUGACUAGAGUAUUGGAGAGGGGAGUGGAAUUCCACGUGUAGCGGUGAAAUGCGUAGAUAUGUGGAGGAACAUCAGUGGCGAAGGCGACUCUCUGGCCGAUUACUGACGCUCAUGUGCGAAAGUGUGGGUAGCGAACAGGAUUAGAUACCCUGGUAGUCCACACUGUAAACGCUGUCUACUAGCUGUGUGUUCCUUUAAGGAGUGCGUAGCGCAGCUAACGCGAUAAGUAGACCGCCUGGGGAGUACGGCCGCAAGGUUAAAACUCAAAUGAAUUGACGGGGGCCCGCACAAGCGGUGGAGCAUGUGGUUUAAUUCGAUGCAACGCGA